Molecule: transfer RNA, 95 nt
Filed under: Gallionellales bacterium RBG_16_56_9
Lineage: Bacteria; Pseudomonadati; Pseudomonadota; Betaproteobacteria; Nitrosomonadales
Also listed under: 2 other names
Description: tRNA-Ser
Rfam family: tRNA
About the family: Transfer RNA (tRNA) molecules are approximately 80 nucleotides in length.
Source: RNAcentral
GGAGAGGUGGCCGAGAGGUCGAAGGCACUCCCCUGCUAAGGGAGCAUACGGGACUAAAACCUGUAUCGAGGGUUCGAAUCCCUCCCUCUCCGCCA